UCAAGAUCUGGGACCUGGAUGUGCGCGGACACCAUCAUGGCCUGUGGCGCUUCACGUACUACGACAACAACGUCCUGCUGUUCGGCGUGCCGAUCACCAUGUACAUGAACGAUGUCGUGAAACACUUCUCUCACCCGGUGCAAGUUGUCUCAAGUUUGAAACAUGCAGAGUGAAAAUGUUGUCUGGCUGCAACAGUGCCGUCUUAUGGAGCCAUGUUUAGACGCCGGUAUUUUUGAGCUCACAGCAGCUAUUCAAGUCUACUGGCUUUGAAUUAGCUGGAAGUUGAGCGCGCACGAAAUUUGUCGAUUCAAAGCAGGUAUUCCGUUAUUUGCUGUUAUUGCAGCAAUUGACUCAUGUCAUCCAUGCUUAUCUCCGAUGAUUUUUGUUAGCGUCUUGGGUGUCUUUGCAAACACCACAUUUGUGCCCCUGUCAAUCGUGUCCUGUAGUGCACCUGGGUCGCGUUUACCAUCUGACGAUGAGCACGAGACUGGUUCUAAACCGUAUGUGAAAAUAAACAUAACCAUUUUUCGCAUCA
Pollicipes pollicipes is the source of this 535-nucleotide long non-coding RNA. RefSeq lists it as uncharacterized. The transcript is spliced from 2 exons. NCBI's taxonomy places the organism in Eukaryota, Metazoa, Arthropoda, Thecostraca, Pollicipedomorpha, Pollicipedidae. The record is from RefSeq and is a predicted model, not a curated record.